Molecule: unclassified non-coding RNA, 388 nt
Filed under: Brasilonema lichenoides CDV2
Lineage: Bacteria; Bacillati; Cyanobacteriota; Cyanophyceae; Nostocales; Scytonemataceae
Description: partial 16S-23S ribosomal RNA intergenic spacer
Source: RNAcentral
UUUUUAGGGAGACCCACUUUUGAGUUAGUUAGAAACACUUAGUUAAUAACUAAUAACUCAAAAGCCAUCCCGAGGUCGAUCAUUAGUCAACAGUGCAAGCUUUCAAACUAUUUUUGGUUCACCUCAAUUGUCUAACAUAGACUUACAAGAAAAAUUAAUUUGUUACCUCUGGAUAACAGACUAAGCUUAUUCAUUUUUCAACUAAUAACUAUACUUUUUGGUGAUUAACAGCAUCUAUAAGGGAAUAAAGUUUCAGCAUCUUGUGAGCCAAAGCAAGAAUGCUGGGAAAUAUCCAGCAAAAGAACCUUGAAAACUGCAUAGAAACGCGAAAUUUGUCAGGUAGUUAACUAUUAACAGCAGUUAACACUUCCAUAAAAAGCAGCAAUGA